GAUGAAGAACGCAGCGAAAUGCGAUAAGUAAUGUGAAUUGCAGAAUUCAGUGAAUCAUCGAAUCUUUGAACGCACCUUGCGCCCUUUGGCUAUUCCGAAGGGCAUGCCUGUUUGAGUAUCAUGAACAUCUCAACUCCUCACGGUUCGCCCGUGACGAGCUUGGACUUUGGGGGUCUUGCCGGCCUGCGGGUCGGCUCCUCUCAAAUGAAUCAGCUUGCCGGUGUUUGGUGGCGUCACAGGUGUGAUAAAUAUCUACGCUUGUGGUUUUCCGCCAGGUAACCUCCAGCGAUGGGGGUUCACUGGAGCUCACGAAUGUCUCUCCUCGGUGAGGACAGCUCUUUGAACGUUUGAUCUCAAAUCAGGUAGGGCUACCCGCUGAACUUAAGCAUAUCAUAAGCGGAGGA
RNAcentral lists this unclassified non-coding RNA (404 nucleotides) under soil metagenome. Its description in RNAcentral is "partial contains 5.8S ribosomal RNA, internal transcribed spacer 2, and large subunit ribosomal RNA". The stretch from base 1 to 121 matches the Rfam family "5.8S ribosomal RNA", at positions 35 to 154 of the family's 154-position model. The record is from RNAcentral.